Molecule: long non-coding RNA, 1303 nt
Organism: Sceloporus undulatus (fence lizard)
Lineage: Eukaryota; Metazoa; Chordata; Lepidosauria; Squamata; Phrynosomatidae
Exons: 3
Source: RefSeq, a predicted model, not a curated record
AGGGGAGAAGCCAUCAUCAUCAUCAUCAUCCAUGGGGAGAGCAUUGUGAGGAAGUUACACUUUGGUCUACAAUACCAGGAAUUCCACAGUCAGCAUGACUAACCUUGCUGGGGAUUCUGUACCCAAACAGGUUCAGCACCUUGGAGACCACCUUCAAAGAUUGUUUUCAAGUCUUCAGUGGAUUCACUGCCCAACUGACAUGGAGGCCACCAGCCACCACAGCUAAUCCCAGCCUAAUGACCAGAAAAAGAACCUGCGUUGUGUAUAAACAGGGCCUCAAAGCUGUCAAACAAUAAGAUGAAAUCAGCAGGGAAGGCUGGCCCAGAUAUGUUGCUAUAUGAUGUGGAACGUCCAAGUGCAUCCUAUCCUCACAAAGUCAAGGUGAAUGUGACUGUGUGUCUUCCUUUCCUGAGAGCAAUGUUCUGCUUGAAGAGUUGCACAAUUUAAGAAUAAGAGGGGUCCUUGAAGUUAGAAUCAAACAACAUUGGAUAAUGAACCCAUGUCACCCGAAUAACCCAUCCACAGACAAGGGAGUAAAUAGCAAGGCAGACACUGUCAGAAGCAGAAAUCUGGUGUUUUACUGGGAUGUUCUGUUUUUUCUAACACUUGACACUUAGUCUCACUGGCUACCCAUAAGUAGAAUGCAAAAGUGAGGAAACCAUUCCAAUGCAGAGAUGUAUUAGGAAUUGGGCAGAACAUACAUUUGGCAAAAUGCAAUCCAGAUGGCUCAAAGAAGCAAGCCAUUCCAGAGCACACGCUACUACUGGAAUGAAAACUAAUACAAUUCUCCAAGGCGAUAAAUCCAUGUGAGUUCCUUCCAGGCUUCACAGAUUUUUCUCCCAAAGUGGUACAACAGACAUUUACUAAACAACAUGCCUUCUUUGUAUUGGCAGAUUUAGUUAUGAAAGCAGGUUGUCAGUCAUUCUUCUUCUAGCCUCCUUGUUUCUCCUCAUAAUCUGUCUGAUCCUUUGUGCUUUAAAACACAACUGCCAACUGCAGUAAUGUUUGUACAAUUUGUUUUUAAGCUAAGGCCAGCUCAGUUGCUUCAGCAUUAGAUAAGGUUUUUAAAUUAUUUGUAUUCAACUUAUAUUGCUUUAUUCCCCCAUUAUGAACUUUCCCCAAACAAAGUCAUAUGAGCUGGAAUGCAGAUACAUGACAACAACAACAGCUUUUGAAAUCUGAAGGUACAUUUUGGACUCUGUGCCGACAAUAGAAAGCCGCAAAUAACAAUAUAUUCUUCAUUCUUUGAAUGUGUGCCCAGAGAACUAUUAUUUGCAUAAUUGCCUAUAUAUAAUUCAAAUCA